RNAcentral lists this ribosomal RNA (506 nucleotides) under uncultured bacterium. RNAcentral describes it as "partial 16S ribosomal RNA". It matches the Rfam family "Bacterial small subunit ribosomal RNA", at positions 29 to 523 of the family's 1533-position model. The record is from RNAcentral.
AGUGAACGCUGGCGGUAGGCCUAACACAUGCAAGUCGAACGGCAGCACAGGAGAGCUUGCUCUCUGGGUGGCGAGUGGCGGACGGGUGAGGAAUACAUCGGAAUCUACUCUGUCGUGGGGGAUAACGUAGGGAAACUUACGCUAAUACCGCAUACGGCCUACGGGUGAAAGCAGGGGACCUUCGGGCCUUGCGCGAUUGAAUGAGCCGAUGUCGGAUUAGCUAGUUGGCGGGGUAAAGGCCCACCAAGGCGACGAUCCGUAGCUGGUCUGAGAGGAUGAUCAGCCACACUGGAACUGAGACACGGUCCAGACUCCUACGGGAGGCAGCAGUGGGGAAUAUUGGACAAUGGGCGCAAGCCUGAUCCAGCCAUACCGCGUGGGUGAAGAAGGCCUUCGGGUUGUAAAGCCCUUUUGUUGGGAAAGAAAUCCAGCUGGCUAAUACCCGGUUGGGAUGACGGUACCCAAAGAAUAAGCACCGGCUAGCUUCGUGCCAGCCGCCGCGGUAA